Molecule: long non-coding RNA, 322 nt
Filed under: Medicago truncatula (barrel medic)
Lineage: Eukaryota; Viridiplantae; Streptophyta; Magnoliopsida; Fabales; Fabaceae
Description: lncRNA gene34135
Source: RNAcentral
GGGAGAGACAUUGGGCUUUGCUCCUCCGUCUUCAGCUACUCCCCUAUAAAUUGAGUUGGUGUGACGUUGCGUUCCCGCCCCCCAACCCCUGUAAAGUAUGAUUUUGCUAGGCUCCUGAGAGACUAGAACUGCACCUGUUGCUUCCUGCAAUAUGGAAACCAACUCAUGAACUGAGGUCCCUUUUGCCCUUCCUUUGACAUUAACUAUGACAAAAGGGUGCCUCCGCAAAAGAUUCUUGAUUGCUUCCUCAAGACCGGCCACAAUAUUGCUCUUUCCUGAUAAGAAAACAAAAAAGAGACGAGAAUGUUCCCCUUCCAAUUAG